This 253-nucleotide ribosomal RNA is filed under the name uncultured bacterium. Its description in RNAcentral is "partial 16S ribosomal RNA". It matches the Rfam family "Bacterial small subunit ribosomal RNA", at positions 524 to 776 of the family's 1533-position model. The record is from RNAcentral.
UACGUAGGGUGCGAGCGUUAAUCGGAAUUACUGGGCGUAAAGGGCUCGUAGGCGGCCAACUAAGUCGGAUGUGAAAUCCCCAGGCUCAACUUGGGAACUGCAUCCGAUACUGGAUGGCUUGAAUUCGGGAGAGGGAUGCAGAAUUCCAGGUGUAGCGGUGAAAUGCGUAGAGAUGUGGAGGAACACCAGUGGCGAAGGCGACUCUUUGGUCUGUAACUGACGCUGAGGCGCGAAAGCGUGGGGAGCAAACAGG